RNAcentral lists this ribosomal RNA (253 nucleotides) under uncultured bacterium. RNAcentral's name for it is "partial 16S ribosomal RNA". It matches the Rfam family "Bacterial small subunit ribosomal RNA", at positions 524 to 776 of the family's 1533-position model. The record is from RNAcentral.
UACAGAGGGGGCAAGCGUUAUUCGGAAUUACUGGGCGUAAAGCGUGCGCAGGCGGUUUUGUAAGCCAGAUGUGAAAUCCCCGGGCUUAACCUGGGAAUGGCAUUUGGGACUGCAAGGCUUGAGUGCGGCAGAGGAGACUGGAAUUCCUGGUGUAGCAGUGAAAUGCGUAGAUAUCAGGAGGAACACCGAUGGCGAAGGCAGGUCUCUGGGCUGACACUGACGCUCAUGCACGAAAGCGUGGGGAGCAAACAGG